This 497-nucleotide ribosomal RNA is filed under the name uncultured bacterium. RNAcentral's name for it is "partial 16S ribosomal RNA". It matches the Rfam family "Bacterial small subunit ribosomal RNA", at positions 28 to 507 of the family's 1533-position model. The record is from RNAcentral.
GAUGAACGCUGGCGGCGUGCCUAAUACAUGCAAGUCGAGCGAACAGACGAGGAGCUUGCUCCUCUGACGUUAGCGGCGGACGGGUGAGUAACACGUGGAUAACCUACCUAUAAGACUGGGAUAACAUCGGGAAACCGGAGCUAAUACCGGAUAAUAUAUUGAACCGCAUGGUUCAAUAGUGAAAGACGGUUUUGCUGUCACUUAUAGAUGGAUCCGCGCCGCAUUAGCUAGUUGGUAAGGUAACGGCUUACCAAGGCAACGAUGCGUAGCCGACCUGAGAGGGUGAUCGGCCACACUGGAACUGAGACACGGUCCAGACUCCGACGGGAGGCAGCAGUAGGGAAUCUUACACAAUGAGCGAAAGCCUGACGGAGCAACGCCGCGUGAGUGAUGAAGGUCUUCGGAUCGUAAAACUCUGUUAUUAGGGAAGAACAAAUGUGUAAGUAACUAUGCACGUCUUGACGGUACCUAAUCAGAGAGCCACGGCUAACUACGUG